This 51-nucleotide transfer RNA is filed under the name Gammarus pisinnus. RNAcentral describes it as "tRNA-Ser". The record is from RNAcentral. Lineage: Eukaryota; Metazoa; Arthropoda; Malacostraca; Amphipoda; Gammaridae.
UAAGUGUAGUAAAGACUUCUAAUCUUUAAAAAGCCUAAAGGCUACACUUAA